Molecule: ribosomal RNA, 393 nt
Filed under: uncultured bacterium
Lineage: Bacteria
Description: partial 16S ribosomal RNA
Rfam family: Bacterial small subunit ribosomal RNA
Source: RNAcentral
AUACGGAGGAUCCGAGCGUUAUCCGGAUUUAUUGGGUUUAAAGGGUGCGCAGGCGGCCAUUUAAGUGGGAUGUGAAAUACCCGGGCUCAACCUGGGAACUGCAUUCCAAACUGGAAUUCUAGAGUGCAGGAGAGGAAAGGGGAAUUCCCAGUGUAGCGGUGAAAUGCGUAGAUAUUGGGAGGAACACCAGUGGCGAAGGCGCCUUUCUGGACUGUGUCUGACGCUGAGAUGCGAAAGCCAGGGUAGCGAACGGGAUUAGAUACCCUGGUAGUCCGCACAGUAAACGAUGAAUACUUGUUUUCGGCGAUAUAAUGUCGGAGGCAAAGCGAAAGCGAUAAGUAUUCCACCUGGGGAGUACGCCGGCAACGGUGAAACUCAAAUGAAUUGGCGGGG